CGUAGGGUGCAAGCGUUAAUCGGAAUUACUGGGCGUAAAGGGUGCGCAGGCGGCUCCGCAUGUCAGGCGUGAAAUCCCCGGGCUUAACCUGGGAAUGGCGCUUGAAACUACGGGGCUAGAGUAUGGCAGAGGGAGGUGGAAUUCCACGUGUAGCGGUGAAAUGCGUAGAGAUGUGGAGGAACACCGAUGGCGAAGGCAGCCUCCUGGGCCAAUACUGACGCUCAUGCACGAAAGCGUGGGGAGCAAACAGGAUUAGAUACCCUGGUAGUCCACGCCCUAAACGAUGAUGACUAGUUGUUGGAGGAGUUAAAUCCUUUAGUAACGCAGCUAACGCGAGAAGUCAUCCGCCUGGGGAGUACGGUCGCAAGAUUA
This 372-nucleotide ribosomal RNA is filed under the name uncultured organism. RNAcentral's name for it is "bacterial SSU rRNA". It matches the Rfam family "Bacterial small subunit ribosomal RNA", at positions 526 to 896 of the family's 1533-position model. The record is from RNAcentral.